Dipodomys ordii (Ord's kangaroo rat) is the source of this 70-nucleotide non-coding RNA. NCBI's taxonomy places the organism in Eukaryota, Metazoa, Chordata, Mammalia, Rodentia, Heteromyidae. The record is from Rfam.
GGGAAGGUAGCUCAGUGGUAGAGCACUUGCCUUGCAUGCAUGAGGCCCUGGGCUCAAUUCCCCAGCACCA